RNAcentral lists this ribosomal RNA (443 nucleotides) under uncultured bacterium. RNAcentral's name for it is "bacterial SSU rRNA". It matches the Rfam family "Bacterial small subunit ribosomal RNA", at positions 61 to 509 of the family's 1533-position model. The record is from RNAcentral.
GUCGAACGGAUGUCAGCAAUGGCAUUAGUGGCGCACGGGUGCGUAACGCGUAACCAACCUACCCAGAACUGGGGGAUAGCCCGCCGAAAGGCGGAUUAAUACCGCAUAAGCUAAGUGCCUGGCAUCAGGUGUUUAGUAAAGAUUUAUUGGUUUUGGAUGGGGUUGCGUGCCAUUAGCUAGUUGGUGAGGUAACGGCUCACCAAGGCGACGAUGGCUAGGGGAGCUGAGAGGCUGGUCCCCCACACGGGCACUGAGAUACGGGCCCGACUCCUACGGGAGGCAGCAGUAGGGAAUAUUGGGCAAUGGUCGAGAGACUGACCCAGCCAUGCCGCGUGCAGGAUGAAGGCUUUCUGAGUCGUAAACUGCUUUUAUCAGGGAAGAAUAAGGGCUGUGCGCACUCCGAUGACGGUACCUGAGGAAUAAGCACCGGCUAACUCCGUGCC